UAUUUUAAAACUCCCCAUUGAAACAAAAUAAGGCAUUGCCUCACUGAUGCCUAUUUAAUAGGAUACCUUUGGUACAGAUAUAAGCAAAGAAAGGUUCAGGAAAGAAGGCCCAUGAGGCUGAGCAAAGCACUGGAAUUCCCCAUUCCUUCUAUCAAUUGUAGUUUGAUUCUCAAUGGGAGAAGUAGAUGUCAAGAAUUAAUAGUUAAACAAAGCAAGAUUUGGAGUCACGCAAGGUUGAAUUAAGAAACAGACAGAAUACUACUUUUUCACAUUAAUUUAUUAUAUCCAUGAUAGAUUUACAACCACAUCUCUAUGGGAAUGCACAGAAUCUUAUUUUGGAAACACAAUUAUGGUCUGAACAUUUUUUAGCUCAUCUAAUCCUAUCCAAAUUAUCAUUACAUGUGUAAACCCAUUUCCAUCUACACUCUGGCUACCAAAAUGAAAGAUAUGUUCUUAUUAAGGCUGUGCAGUGAAGAUCUCUCCUCACAGCAAGUACAGACAAGGUUACUUUAAUGAGUUAUGGGAAAUGUGCUAUUUGUGCUCUUGUACAUUCCAAAGUCUCUUCUGCAAAUCAAUCUUGAAGCACUGCACAACCCAGUCAAUGAUAUUAAAAAAUUAUCUGGGCUAUCCAUUAUACAGUCAGGUUUCAUGAAAUAAUAUACUUUUCUGCCAGCCUGGGGCACCCCAAGAUCAGCAGAAGGGCAGUGGACUUCCUAAGUCUCACACUGCCUGACCUAACUGCAAAGGAGGCAAGGCAGUUGUCCUUAGCUGAGAUGUACUUGUGUGGCUAAAGAAAUUAGGUUUAAAACACACACACACACACACACAAAACCCACAGCCCUAUGAGAGGUCCGAGUUAAACCCAUCGUGUCAAGUCAUGGCUAGCCAUCCUUUGCAAGACAAACCAUCACUAGCUGGAAACACGCCUCAUCCCAAACCAUGGUUUAUGAAGCACAUCACAUUCAUUCCAGCUCUGCACCGCUGGCACGGGAAUCUUGGCGGCAAUCAGGAGGUCAACGAAAGGAGACACCCAGUUGACAGGCCGGUCUCAGCCUUCAAGAGCCCGAGCCCAGCCAUACGCUUCCACCUCCGCCUCCCCCUUCCCACGGGGUCCGAAGGGAGCACGCCGUGCCGGAACACCGGGCAGGGCGAACAAACGGCACCCGUCGCAAGAGAAGAGGAUGGAAAACGAAUACAUAGCUCCCUCUGAAGAGAAGUCAAAUGUAAACAUACUGUUGAUUACAUUGUCUUAAAUCCAUACAAAGAGAGUGACAACUUUUUUGCUAUUUGCAGCAGGAGAUCAUGCAACUCUAAACAUAACUGCAGAUAAAUACCAUUUCUUAAAUGUGGUUAUCACUGCUCCAAAAACAUUUCAUCAAAAUUCAACCCAUUGAAAAGAUGCAUUCACCAUGUGUAUUACUUCCAAAGUAGCUUAAUUUCCUCAUUUUGCAGUUGUGACAUAAAGAGAAUGUAAACAUUCAUAAUUUUGCCUUAUGGAGAUAAUCGUCUUCUGUUUCGUGGUUUUAUUGUUGCACUAAAUGGGUGGUGGGGAUAAAAGAAGCAAUUAUCAAUUCGUGGAGGAAUAAAGAUGUCUGCUUCAGGCAGCAUGACCAUUUGGAAGAGCUGGAAUGGAAAUGAAACACUGAAGGAAUGGACUUACUAAGUACUCAUAAUAUUAAAGAAGUACCUCUUUCUGUGAAAGGGUGUAAAUGCAACUUUUGUCCUUGGAUGUCCUCAUGUUUGCCUUUGAUAUCCAUUUUUAGAUAUCCUGGCAACAUGAAUGAUGCUUCGGAAUUGGACAUUUGUGAUUGAGAUGCUGAAAGACAUUCUUCCCCAUUCCUGAAGAGGGGUUUGAUUUGGCUGGAAUGUAAUAAAAGAGACAUGCUACCGUGGCUCCUUACCUGAAUUUGCCUGGGCUAUAAAGAGCUAUGUUUGUAGAGCAGCUGUAAUCACUAAAACACUGUACAACAUAAGGGCAGCUUUCUCUGUGUACAUCUAUCACAGUGGUUCUCAACCUUUCUAAUGCCGCGACCCCAUAAUACAGUUCCCCAUGUUGUGGUGACCCCCAACCACUUAUAUAUCACCGGGUACCAGGGGCGUGACCAAAGAAAAGGGGGAAAAAUGGCGGACAGCCUUGUUUGGCGACCCCCGUGAAAUGGUCAUUCGACCCCAAAUGGGGUCCCGACCCACAGGUUGAGAACCACUGAUCUAUCAUCACACAAACUUGCUUCAAAUCUGCCUUUUCCUCCUCCUCCAUGGGGAUUUGUACAGGAAAGGAUAAUAACUAUUAGCUUGCAUUGCACAGGAUGAAUUCUUCUGUUCACAAUAUUACUUCAAGGUCCUAAAAAAACUAGAGGAGUUUUGCUUGUGGAAUUCCUUUUUUCUUUCUUUCAUUAAUGUCAAAUUUUGGCUAGAAAAUAAUGAAGCUGAAAAACAAAGGUUUGUCUGGAAUCUUCCUACUGAUGAAAUUAAAAGCCGAAUUCCAAAAUAGUAAUAUAACGUAUCAAAUCUCCCUUUGUACUAUUAUCUGUUGAUGGGAAAAAAUUAACAUUAAACUCUUAACAGCUGCCAUGGUCAUUAACAAUUUAUCCCAAUGGGUAAAGAAAGGAGUUUAAUAUUAAUUAGGAUUUUUUUUACAUGUGUAAACAAUUUUAUUAGGUGAGAUAGAACUUCAGAGGUAGGAUUUUGCCUGUCAUCUGUUGCUGCAGUGUGGUGGGAUACUUGCAGAAAACUAAUCUGUUGCUCUUUGUGCUGUGGUAGGUAGCCAGGUGCAAAGGAUAGGACAGCUGUGCCUUUUUAAAGGAGAUCAUAUAAUCAACUGCACUGCAGGUUCCUCUUUUACAAAGCUAUUACAAAAACAAUGUCUGUCCUUCUUCCAAUCACCUACGUGGAGAAGAUCAGAGAUGUCCAACCCUGGCAACUUUAAGACUUAUGGACGUCAACUCCCAGAAUUGACUGACUGAGGAAUUCUGGGAAUUGAAGUCCACAAGUAUUAAAGUUGCCAAGCUUGGACAUCCUGGAAUAGAUAUUUAAGGUGGCCACAGUUGCUUGUCAGCCUAAAACAUAUAUAUACCAUACAUACUUAGAAAACAAUACCUGUGCAGUUUCCUGGAAAAAAUCUUUCUAGGCACUACCUAAAACAUAGUUGCUAGGAUGCUGCUUUUGAACACAUACAGUCUAAUAUCGAAGUAUUUCAUGGAAAGAAACUCUAUUGAUUAAAGGUAAAAGGCAGCAGCCAUAUUUUUUUAAAAAAGUAGAAAUUAAGGCUUCUUUCAAGACAAGAAGAGGUACAGUCCCUUUCCAAGGUAGGUGCUGCCAAACACCAGAAAGGAAAUCCUUGCUCCAAUUAGCCAACAUCUGACUAAAAAAUGCUGGAAAGCUUUUACAGCUAUCACAGCAGGAAUAUCUUCUCAUAUUGUUGCAAUGCUGGAGAAGCAAAACUUGCUGGAAGCUUCCCUUCUUGACAUAAAUACAGCAUUGGAACUCCAUUCUCUGUUCAGUCUAGUAAAUUAAGAUGCCAUAAAGGACUUAAAUUCAGAGACUGGCAUUUUCUCCCCCUAACACAGUGCACUGGUAAUGGAAAAUUCUGCAAGCUGCAGGCCAGCACCUUUGAGAUACAUAUGGUGAAGGAUAUGUGCUUAUGGAAUCUCAGAGCUGGUGUUAAUCAUGAGUUUAUUUCAUGUCCCUUUUGCUUUUACAGUGGGACAGAAUCACCUAUUCCUUCCCUGGACAAACCAGAAACGGGACACUGGGGAUAGAACCACAGAAAUUGGUGCUAAUCCUUCCCUUAGAGGUGCACUUUAUGAUGCCCACUGUCAUUGGCUGAUUAUACAAAGAGAAGCGCCAAUGUUGUUCUGGUUACAAAACUCUUACAACACUAAAUAAUAUUGUAUAUUUACCAAUAUUCAGGGAAGAGGACUUUUUGAAAUAUAGGAAAUAAAACCAAUGAUCAUUGCUCUUUCCUUCUAAACUUUCCCUUGAGGAUACAAGAAAAUACUAUGUGGGAAUUCUCCCCACAUAUUUCCCAGGCCCUUCCCUUAAACAUGAAGAAACCCAAAUCAGAAUCAAUAGUCUGGAACUUAAAAGCAUCUUUCUUUUAGAUCAAAUGUACUGUGUAAUAGUAAUAUCAUUAAUAAUGACUCUAAUAAAUAGAUACAGGGAAGAGGGGAAAGCAUUAAACACACAAAGAUGGAAAGGUAGGGCUGGCACACAGAUUUACCAUAUACUCAUCUGUUCACUUCUUAAAAAGGUACAAAACCAAUUUUUCUUUCAAGUAUUAAAAAAUAAGUUAAUGAACAUUAAAGGAUCUAAAGUGACUACAGGGCCAGGAUAGGUCUUCUGCUUCAUUUCUGACGUGCAAAAAAAAAAAAAAA
Long non-coding RNA from Crotalus tigris (Tiger rattlesnake), 4373 nucleotides. RefSeq lists it as uncharacterized. The transcript is spliced from 3 exons. The record is from RefSeq and is a predicted model, not a curated record. NCBI's taxonomy places the organism in Eukaryota, Metazoa, Chordata, Lepidosauria, Squamata, Viperidae.